This 468-nucleotide ribosomal RNA is filed under the name uncultured bacterium. RNAcentral's name for it is "partial 16S ribosomal RNA". It matches the Rfam family "Bacterial small subunit ribosomal RNA", at positions 28 to 507 of the family's 1533-position model. The record is from RNAcentral.
GAUGAACGCUGGCGGCGUGCUUAACACAUGCAAGUCGAACGGUGAAGGCGGAGCUUGCUCUGCUGGAUCAGUGGCGAACGGGUGAGUAACACGUGAGCAAUCUGCCCCUGACUCUGGGAUAAGCGCUGGAAACGGAGUCUAAUACUGGAUACGAACUGGGAAGGCCUCUUCAGCAGCUGGAAAGAACUUCGCUCAGGGAUGAGCGUGCGGCGUCUCAGCUUGUUGUUGAGGUAACGGUUCACGAAGGGGUCGACGAGUAGACGGCCUGGGAAGGUGACCGGCGACACUGGGACUGAGACACGGCGCAGACUCGUACGUGAGGCAACGGUGGGAAAGAUGACACAAUGGUGGAGAGCCUGAUGCAGCAGCGCCGCGUGAGUGACGACGUCCUUCGGGUUGGAAACCUCUUUUAGCAGAGAAGAAGCUAAAGUGACGGUACCUGCAGAAAAAGCGCCGGCUAACUACGUG